This 318-nucleotide RNase P RNA is filed under the name bacterium. RNAcentral's name for it is "RNase P RNA component class A". It matches the Rfam family "Bacterial RNase P class A". From Rfam's summary of the family: Ribonuclease P (RNase P) is a ubiquitous endoribonuclease, found in archaea, bacteria and eukarya as well as chloroplasts and mitochondria. Its best characterised activity is the generation of mature 5'-ends of tRNAs by cleaving the 5'-leader elements of precursor-tRNAs. The record is from RNAcentral. RNAcentral also lists the same sequence under 1 other name.
GAGAUGAUUCGGACGGCCGCCCGCUCAGGCGGGAGGAAAGUCCGGACUUCACAGAGCACGGCAACCCGUUGUUAAAGCGGGGGGCUCCGCAAACCUUUUGGCGAGCGGAGUACGGAAAGUGGCACAGAAACCAGGUACGGGCCCGCGUAAUGCGGGUGCCGUAGUGAAAAGGCUAAACCCUGCCGGAAGCAAGGCCAAGCAGUCCCGUUGUUUUUCUUCGCGGAAAAACGCAAGCUGCUCGUUUGGAAUACGGGACGGGUAGGCCGCAUAGAUGAAUGGCCGUUAGAACAGAAUCCGGCUUAUGGAAUCAUCUCCCCG